GGACUACCCGGGUAUCUAAUCCCGUUCGCUCCCCUGGCUUUCGCCCCUGAGCGUCAGGUACUUGCCAGAAUGCUGCCUUCGCCUUCGGUGUUCUUCCGGAUAUCUACGCAUUUCACCACUCCACCCGGAGUUCCGCAUUCCUCUCAAGCCCUCAAGUCUCCCAGUUUCCAUCGACCUUGCGCAGUGAAGCCGCGCGCUGUCACGACAGACUUGGAAGACCGCCUGCGGGCGCUUUACGCCCAGUAACUCCGGACAACGCUCGCCUCCUACGUAUUACCGCGGCUGCUGGCAC
Molecule: ribosomal RNA, 292 nt
Filed under: uncultured bacterium
Lineage: Bacteria
Description: partial 16S ribosomal RNA
Source: RNAcentral